AGGAAAGUUAUGAGAGAAGGAAGGUGGACAGAGAGAAGAUCUUUUCUCUCGAGGAAGGUUUAACCCCCCUCUCUGUAAAGGCAGGGACAGACGCGGGGGCCGCCUCCCUCGCCCCUGGUCCCUGUAGCUGCCAGUGCUGCUCCUCGCCCCGCCGCCGGGACCCCGGCGGGUCCCCUCCGGGUCCCCUCCGCCGACGGGAGCGCGGCCGGGCUGCCAGGCGGGCAGUUUUGAAGAGUCGAUCUUCAUAAUACAAAUCCCCCGGCUUCGCCUCCCCGCCAGCCGCGCGAGCCAGCUUUUUAAUUGAACCCCGGGGAUUUGGCCGCAGCCGAAAGCCCCGGUUCGGGCCCCAGUGUCGUGGGUCCCUGGAAAGCAGGCCAGCGGAUAAUUAUCCCUCACUGCAAUCCGCAGAGCUGGCCUAAUCCGAAAGCUCAAGUGCCCAUGAACCCAGGCAUGGCAGCUGUUGGAGGACACUCUCCUUUUGGGACACUCAGAGCCCAGGAAUAAGGCUGCAGCAAGUCACUGACUCGAAGUUAGGACAAAGUCAGCUGCAGAGUGCACGGUGAAAGAACAGAUACCACUAAACGCCAAGACGGGAAGAUGAGUGAUACAAGCAGCUACUGGCUAGCUGCGUUCAAGCUGCGACGCAUUCCAUUUAUUUUAAUCGCUCCUUCAUUUCGGAAGAAAGCUGGGGAGACGAGGGCAGAGCUACUUCUGCCAGCUCCGUGGGCAUCCGCAGUGCCCCGGCGUGCGGGAGCCCCCGGCGGGGCCGAGACACGAAGCGCGCAGGAGGCGGCAGCGGCAGGGCGCCCGGCCCGGCAGAGCACCUUCCUCUUCCUCCUUCUCCCCUCACAGCCUGCAUUUCGGACCAGCAAGGUGCGUUUCUGUGGGCUGAUUUGUUUGCUUUUAACCAGGUAUGCUGCGAAUUGUGGAAGCUUUCCAUUUACCUUUUCUUCUUGAAGCGUUUUAAUUAUCAUCACUGACCUGUUGGGCAUACCUACAGUAUCAAUGUCCCUUUUACAUCGCUGCCUUCCCUUUCUCUGCAUGUUUCUGCUAUUUAACACUUGCUACCUUUGCCAUUAGAGUCCUAGAGUGACCCCCAUGGGUAUAUUUGAAAGAAAGACCCUCUGCAUUCCAGCACUGCCUCCUUACCCAAGUAAUAGCAAAGGGACCAUUCAGACACAUGGACCACACUGAAGCAUUAAUUAGGCUGAUGAAAUCCAUAGAAAUGUAUGGAUUCAGCAUAAUCGAGUUUCUUCUGCUGACUAUAGUUAAGGAAUACGUGAGCAGCUGGGAGAAUAGAAAGUACUGUUAGGGUGAAGUCAUGCAUGUAAUUGAGUAUAUUUAACAUAACCAUUUUAAUGAUCGGU
RNAcentral lists this long non-coding RNA (1367 nucleotides) under Strigops habroptila (Kakapo). RNAcentral's name for it is "lncRNA (ENSSHBG00005012276.1)". The record is from RNAcentral. Lineage: Eukaryota; Metazoa; Chordata; Aves; Psittaciformes; Psittacidae.